GACGAACGCUGGCGGCGUGCUUAACACAUGCAAGUCGAACGGAAAGGCCUCUUUCGGGGGGUACUCGAGUGGCGAACGGGUGAGUAACACGUGAGUAACCUGCCCUUUACUUUGGGAUAACUUCAGAAAACUGGGGCUAAUACCGUAUAGGAGCUCCUGCUGCAUGGUGGGGGUUGGAAAGUUUCGGCGGUUGGGGAUGGACUGGCGGCUUAUCAGCUUGUUGGUGGGGUAGGGGCUUACCAAGGCUUUGACGGGUAGCCGGCCUGGGAGGGUGACCGGCCACAUUGGGACUGAGGGACGGACCAGACUCCUACGGGAGGCAGCGGUGGGGAAUAUGGCCCAAUGGGUGGGAGCCUGAUGCAGCAACGCCGUGUGCGGGAUGACGGCCUUCGGGUUGUAAACCGCUUUCGCUCAUGACGAAGCUUUGUGUGACGGUAGUGGGUAAAGAGGCACCGGCUAACUACGU
This 466-nucleotide ribosomal RNA is filed under the name uncultured bacterium. RNAcentral describes it as "partial 16S ribosomal RNA". It matches the Rfam family "Bacterial small subunit ribosomal RNA", at positions 28 to 506 of the family's 1533-position model. The record is from RNAcentral.